RNAcentral lists this ribosomal RNA (84 nucleotides) under Breznakibacter sp. The record is from RNAcentral. Lineage: Bacteria; Pseudomonadati; Bacteroidota; Bacteroidia; Marinilabiliales; Marinilabiliaceae.
ACCUCUUCCCAUUCCGAACAGAGAAGUUAAGCUUGUCCGCGCCGAUGGUACUGCGUCAAGUGGGAGAGUAGGUCGCCGCCGAAU